ACAACUGGUCACAGCCCAACAUGAAGACUAGCGUCAAGAUCAUUCACGCCAGAUGGGCCGGGUGGAACUCCGGGAUGUUAAUCGUAAAGAAGAGUUUGUGAGGAGGAUUGAAGAAGCUGCAAGAAGUAAUCUGAUCCUGAUUUUCAGCUAACUAAUAGUGAAGUAGCACAUAUAAUGAUGUAUUCUUGGUAUACAUUUGUGGCCUCUAUAGGACUGGGAAGCUACAGUUCCAUGCAAGUGAUGAUGAGAUUGUGCAACAAUGUGACAAAGUAAUGAGGACAUUAACUAUUAUAGUUCUAAGUUCCCCCUGAGACUCACAUAAUCCAGCAUAUUUUUUUUU
Long non-coding RNA from Eucalyptus grandis, 340 nucleotides. RefSeq lists it as uncharacterized. The record is from RefSeq and is a predicted model, not a curated record. NCBI's taxonomy places the organism in Eukaryota, Viridiplantae, Streptophyta, Magnoliopsida, Myrtales, Myrtaceae. The transcript has 2 exons.